GGAUAAACGCUGAAAGCAUCUAAGCGUGAAGCCAACCUCAAGAUGAGAUUUCCCAUAGCGUAAGCUAGUAAGAUCCCUUGAAGAACACAAGGUUGAUAGGUCGGGGGUGUAAGCAUGGUAACAUGUUUAGCUGACCGAUACUAAUAGAUCGAGGGCUUGACCAAAUA
This 167-nucleotide ribosomal RNA is filed under the name Clostridium perfringens. RNAcentral's name for it is "partial 23S ribosomal RNA". It matches the Rfam family "Bacterial large subunit ribosomal RNA", at positions 2762 to 2925 of the family's 2925-position model. The record is from RNAcentral. Lineage: Bacteria; Bacillati; Bacillota; Clostridia; Eubacteriales; Clostridiaceae.